AUGAACUGCUUAGGACUUGUGCUGAGAAGCUGCACUGGCCAUCACACCGGCACAUUGACACAUACACCAAAGAUCUUUGUGAAACGGCUGCGGGAGAACAAUGUGAAUCUAUGGAAGGUUUACAGUAUCUUUGGCAGCCUGUUUGGGCGAAUGAAGAAUGUACCGUUCACGAAGAGGUGCCUUAGAACUUUCUGUGGGAAGCUUAGUAGAGAACACGGGCCUCCAUCCUGCUCCAGUUUUGAAGCUGAAUGA
Molecule: ribosomal RNA, 252 nt
Filed under: Triticum aestivum (bread wheat)
Lineage: Eukaryota; Viridiplantae; Streptophyta; Magnoliopsida; Poales; Poaceae
Description: partial small subunit ribosomal RNA
Source: RNAcentral